GACGAACGCUGGCGGCGUGGAUUAGGCAUGCAAGUCGAACGGUAUCAUCCUUUCGGGGGUGAGAGAGUGGCGAACUGGUGAGUAACACGUAGGUUAUCUACCCUCAAGACGGGGACAACCCAGGGAAACUUGGGCUAAUACCGGAUGUGAGCAACUUUUAGUUGUUUGAAAGGUGGCGUAAGCUGUCGCUUGGGGAUGAGCCUGCGUCCUAUUAGUUAGUUGGUGAGGUAACGGCUCACCUAGGCAAUGAUAGGUAGGCGGCCUUAACGGGUGGUCGCCCACACUGGGAUUGAGAUACGGCCCAGACUCCUACGGGAGGCAGCAGUCGAGAAUAGUCUACAAUGGUCGGAAGACUGAUAGUGCGACGCCGCGUGAACGAUGAAUCCCUUCGGGGUGUAAAGUUCUUUUAUAUGUGAGCAGUGCUUCUUAUAUUUAACAGUAUGGGGAGAGAGAUAUUAGCAUAUGAAUAAGCAACGGCUAACUCCGUGCCAGCAGCCGACGGUAAAC
RNAcentral lists this ribosomal RNA (507 nucleotides) under uncultured bacterium. Its description in RNAcentral is "bacterial SSU rRNA". It matches the Rfam family "Bacterial small subunit ribosomal RNA", at positions 28 to 525 of the family's 1533-position model. The record is from RNAcentral.